Molecule: long non-coding RNA, 443 nt
Organism: Rhincodon typus (whale shark)
Lineage: Eukaryota; Metazoa; Chordata; Chondrichthyes; Orectolobiformes; Rhincodontidae
Exons: 3
Source: RefSeq, a predicted model, not a curated record
UUCACCCCAAGGCUAUAUCUAGUUGCGUCUUGAAUACUUCAAUGUUUUGGCAUAAACUUGGAUGAAGGAGUGGAAUGGUGGAUUAGCAAGUUCGCGGACAAUACGAAGAUUGGAAGGUCAUGCACACAAAAUGUCUUGUCGGUUAUUAUGAAAGGUGGCUAAAAUGAAUGCAAGUGGAAAAUCUUUUUUCAGUUACAGUACUGGAUAUACCACGCAUCUUUGGGCCUGAUUUUCAUUCAUGGAUGGAGAACUCAGAGAUAUUCCCCAGCUCCACAAAAUCAAAACCUCACCCUGGAAGAUGAAUCUUAGCUCUGGGGAGGUAGGGUUCCUUUGAAGAUGGGAUUGGUGACCCUGGAACAAGAGCCAAGGCUGCAUAUAGAUGCAGGCUGAGUGUAAGGCGUGCCUGUAUGAUAUGGCAUUGUAUGAAAGACUAAAACAAACUA